This 301-nucleotide ribosomal RNA is filed under the name uncultured bacterium. Its description in RNAcentral is "partial 16S ribosomal RNA". It matches the Rfam family "Archaeal small subunit ribosomal RNA", at positions 459 to 760 of the family's 1478-position model. The record is from RNAcentral.
CAGCAGCCGCGGGAACACCAGCAGCCCAAGUGGUGGUCGCGAUUAUUGGGCCUAAAGCGCUCGUAGCCGGGCCGGUAAGUCCCUUGUGAAAUCGGACGGCCUAACCGUUGGCGUGCAAGGGAUACUGUCGGUCUUGAGGCCGGGAGACGUCCGAGGUACUCCGGGGGUAGCGGUGAAAUGUUCUGAUCCUCGGGGGACCACCGGUGGCGAAGGCGUUCGACGAGAACGGGCCUGACGGUGAGGGGCGAAGGCUAGGGGAGCAAACAGGAUUAGAUACCCGCGUAGUCCCUGUCUCUUAUAC